CUACGGAGGGUGCAAGCGUUGUUCGGAAUUACUGGGCGUAAAGCGCGCGUAGGCGGUCUGUUAUGUCAGAUGUGAAAGUCCUCGGCUCAACCGGGGAAGUGCAUUUGAAACUGGCAGACUUGAGUACUGGAGGGGGUGGUGGAAUUCCCGGUGUAGAGGUGAAAUUCGUAGAUAUCGGGAGGAAUACCGGUGGCGAAGGCGACCACCUGGCCAGAUACUGACGCUGAGGUGCGAAAGCGUGGGGAGCAAACAGGAUUAGAAACCCCAGUAGUCC
This 274-nucleotide ribosomal RNA is filed under the name uncultured bacterium. RNAcentral describes it as "partial 16S ribosomal RNA". It matches the Rfam family "Bacterial small subunit ribosomal RNA", at positions 523 to 796 of the family's 1533-position model. The record is from RNAcentral.